GAGACUCGGCGGGACGUGACCUGUCGCGCGGAGCCCUGAGGGCGCGGCCGGCCGUGGGAGCCGGUUCCGCCCUCUUCGUGUGCCGACCCGCGGCGUGCCGCUGUCUCCGGGCCCGUCCUGCUGGCGCCGCCCCGCCCUGCCCGGGGUCUCGCUGCAGCAGCCACUCCGCUCCGCGCGGUGGCGCCGCCGUGAGGGACCCACUCGUUACCGAUCACGUGACGCUCGUUGCUGCGCACGUGACCUUCGGGCGGCGCAUGCGCGGUGCGGCGGGGGCGGUGCAGGCGGGCGGCGCUGAGGGCGGAGGCGGCGGCGGCCGGAGCGGGGCCGGGCCGGCGCGAAAUGGCGGACAGGUUCUCCCGCUUCAACGAGGACAGGGACUUCCAGGGCAAUCACUUUGAUCAGUAUGAAGAGGGGCACCUGGAGAUAGAGCAGGCAUCUCUAGACAAGCCCAUCGAAUCGCCCAGUUUUUAAAGCCAGGUUCGUAUGGAAAUGCUUUCACUCCACUUGCACUGCUUUUGGAAUAGCGUUCUGCUUCAUCUGUCUUUAUUUUAGUGCAUUCAUAACACACACAGUCAGCACAAUGUCUCAUCUCCACUUGGCCAAGACUGCAAAGUACUCCUUGUCCUUUGGAUUUUUUUUCUUUUUGGAAAACGCAGCCAUUUUUGUCAGCACCGGCUUUUAGAUUCAAUGCUCCUUUUGUCAGGGUAGGGCAGUUAGUGCCUUGUCCCAAACCUGUCCCAAGCUGCAGCCCCUCUCUGCCAGGAUGGGGCACUCUGUGCCCAUUGGGAUUGGCCUGCCCAGGUGUGCCUGCAGGUAAGUUUUCCUCUCUUCCCAACAGCCCGCCUUCUCCAUGGUGCUUGUGGUGGGGAUCCAUCCUUGGGUUUUGGGGUUUGUUUUGGAUUUUUUUUUUUUUUUUUUUUUUUUUUUUGCAUUUAACCUUUUAUCCCCAAAAGUUUCCUUAUGUCUCCUGGUUUAAUUUUUUUUUCUAUGUAGCCCUAAUUAUGUCCUGGAGCAGAGCUGGUAGUGUGGGGAAAAUGCACAAUGCACAUUAUUCCUUGGGAAAUACAGAAAUCCAAAAUGUCUGACUUUACUAGGAUAUCAGAAAAAAAUUUCCAAAAUCUGUACAUGAUAACAUCUUUUUGAGGAAAAAUAUAUCCAUGCAGCCAAUAUCUUUGGGAAGGUUGUGCCUUUCAAGCUGAUUCACCAAAGUUGUGCAAACCCUGUGGUCUUUUUCUUCACUGUGGAGUGACAAAAUCUACUCUGGUUUCUGUUGAUGGCUGUUGUUUAAUUAAAGAAACCUGCAGCAUAUAGAUACAAUUAUUUUUUAGGAUUCUGUGUACCACUCAGUGUUCUGGAGUCACAUCCUGUUAUAAUUCAGGAUAUUUCUUUGAUACCUCGAGUUGUGGUUUGCUUGAUGAUAAUUAAUAAUCAACAAGUUCAUAACUGAUUUUGAUUUUUAUAUUUUGUGAUUAGAAGUGAACAUGGUCCCAGCCAAGAGUCCUUCUCUGAGGAGCUGGUCACUGCUUGUAACUGGGUGAACUGGUCACUAAGGGCGAGCUGGCAGAUUGAGAUGGUUCCAGGGGGCUGUGAGUGCUCUGCUCUUUGUCUGGGGGCAGAAACCCUGCAUAAAACACAACAAUUUCCACACUGAGCCCUGCUCAGCCCCAUUGCCAAAAGCUGACACUUAAUUGCUGCGUCAGUACUUUUCCAGUUAUUCCAAAACAGUUUUUUUUUUUUUUUAGGAAGAUGAGACAUUAUGCUUAUUGUUUCCCCUACAUGCACUAAUGGUUCCUUGCUGUUAACUUAUUGCUAGGCCUGUUUCAUUCUAACAUCUUAGUAUUUUUGUUAGUUUACAUGUGAAAUGCAUCACCCAGUCUGUGCUUGAGCUCAUUUUAUUUAAUUGAUUUUUUUUUUUGUUUGUUUUACUAACCUCACUGUUUUUUCAGUUUAAUAUUGGCUGCAUGCUAGUUUAUAUAUAUAUAUACAUAUAUAA
This is an RNA transcript of Oenanthe melanoleuca, 1993 nucleotides long. It is a transcript of the gene named translation initiation factor IF-2-like, with no coding region annotated. The transcript is spliced from 3 exons. The record is from RefSeq and is a predicted model, not a curated record. Lineage: Eukaryota; Metazoa; Chordata; Aves; Passeriformes; Muscicapidae.